CAACCUCUGGCGAUAAUCGCGAAUGUUG
Flavimarina sp. Hel_I_48 is the source of this 28-nucleotide non-coding RNA. The record is from Rfam. NCBI's taxonomy places the organism in Bacteria, Pseudomonadati, Bacteroidota, Flavobacteriia, Flavobacteriales, Flavobacteriaceae.